CUGCUGGCUCGUCUUCGGGGCGCCGGCAAACUUGUGCCACUCAGUGCGGCUCGGGGUGCUGUUUGGGUCGAACUCGCGCUGGAUGCCGUGCUGCUUGAGGAAGGCGUGGAAGUCGGAGUCGCGGAAUGUCCCGCCG
RNAcentral lists this unclassified non-coding RNA (136 nucleotides) under fungal sp. RNAcentral describes it as "partial internal transcribed spacer region". The record is from RNAcentral. Lineage: Eukaryota; Fungi.